GGGCGAGCCCACACUGGCCAGCAGCAGUAGCACCGAUGGGCCCACAUCAUCACGGUGUCACACGCACCACACUACAGAAGAAGAUGUGGGGAGCAGUCUCACGGCUCUGACCUCUGGCACGAAGACUAGCCCUCCAACCAGAGUUCAUGUGGAUCACACAUACGCGAUACAAG
Long non-coding RNA from Ixodes scapularis (black-legged tick), 173 nucleotides. RefSeq lists it as uncharacterized. The transcript has 3 exons. The record is from RefSeq and is a predicted model, not a curated record. NCBI's taxonomy places the organism in Eukaryota, Metazoa, Arthropoda, Arachnida, Ixodida, Ixodidae.